UACGGAGGGGGCUAGCGUUGUUCGGAAUUACUGGGCGUAAAGCGCGCGUAGGCGGCUUCGCAAGUCAGAGGUGAAAGCCCGGGGCUCAACCCCGGAAUUGCCUUUGAGACUGCGUCGCUAGAAUCCGGGAGAGGUGAGUGGAAUUCCGAGUGUAGAGGUGAAAUUCGUAGAUAUUCGGAAGAACACCAGUGGCGAAGGCGGCUCACUGGACCGGUAUUGACGCUGAGGUGCGAAAGCGUGGGGAGCAAAC
Molecule: ribosomal RNA, 250 nt
Filed under: uncultured bacterium
Lineage: Bacteria
Description: partial 16S ribosomal RNA
Rfam family: Bacterial small subunit ribosomal RNA
Source: RNAcentral